Molecule: ribosomal RNA, 492 nt
Filed under: uncultured bacterium
Lineage: Bacteria
Description: partial 16S ribosomal RNA
Rfam family: Bacterial small subunit ribosomal RNA
Source: RNAcentral
AGUGAACGCUGGCGGUAGGCCUAACACAUGCAAGUCGAACGGCAGCACAGUAAGAGCUUGCUCUUACGGGUGGCGAGUGGCGGACGGGUGAGGAAUACAUCGGAAUCUACUUUUUCGUGGGGGAUAACGUAGGGAAACUUACGCUAAUACCGCAUACGACCUACGGGUGAAAGCAGGGGAUCUUCGGACCUUGCGCGAUUGAAUGAGCCGAUGUCGGAUUAGCUAGUUGGCGGGGUAAAGGCCCACCAAGGCGACGAUCCGUAGCUGGUCUGAGAGGAUGAUCAGCCACACUGGAAAUGAGACACGGUCCAGACUCCUACGGGAGGCAGCAGUGGGGAAUAUUGGACAAUGGGCGCAAGCCUGAUCCAGCCAUACAGCGUGGGUGAAGAAGGCUUUCGGGUUGUAAAGCCCUUUUGUUGGGAAAGAAAAGCAGCAGGUUAAUACCCCGCUGUUCUGACGGUACCAAAAGAAUAAGCACCGGCUAACUUCGUG